UACAGAGGGUGCGAGCGUUAAUCGGAAUUACUGGGCGUAAAGCGUGCGUAGACGGUUUCGUAAGUCGGGUGUGAAAGCCCCGGGCUCAACCUGGGAAUUGCAUUCGAGACUGCGGAGCUAGGGUGCGGAAGAGGGAAGCGGAAUUUCCGGUGUAGCGGUGAAAUGCGUAGAUAUCGGAAGGAACAUCAGUGGCGAAAGCGGCUCACUGGACCAUAACUGACGCUGAUGCACGAAAGCUAGGGGAGCAAACAGG
Molecule: ribosomal RNA, 253 nt
Filed under: uncultured prokaryote
Description: partial 16S ribosomal RNA
Rfam family: Bacterial small subunit ribosomal RNA
Source: RNAcentral